CGGACGGGUGAGUAACACGUGGAUAACCUACCUAUAAGACUGGGAUAACUUCGGGAAACCGGAGCUAAUACCGGAUAAUAUUUUGAACCGCAUGGUUCAAAAGUGAAAGACGGUCUUGCUGUCACUUAUAGAUGGAUCCGCGCUGCAUUAGCUAGUUUGUAAGGUAACGGCUUACCAAGGCAACGAUGCAUAGCCGACCUUAGAGGGUGAUCGGCCACACUGGAACUGAGACACGGUCCAG
This 241-nucleotide ribosomal RNA is filed under the name uncultured Staphylococcus sp. RNAcentral describes it as "partial 16S ribosomal RNA". It matches the Rfam family "Bacterial small subunit ribosomal RNA", at positions 99 to 334 of the family's 1533-position model. Lineage: Bacteria; Bacillati; Bacillota; Bacilli; Caryophanales; Staphylococcaceae. The record is from RNAcentral.